GCCGCGGCUACAGAGCUACGAGGCAACACAAUAGUUGAGUUAUGUUUACCAGCUGCGCCGUGCUUAUCAUAUUAUACAGUGCUCUACUGGCUGAAGUAGUGAGAGUUAAAGAAGCGGGUCAAGUCUUCAAAUUGUUGCUAACUUCUAUAUUGCUAUGUUUUCUCCAGGUCAUUUUGAAUGGACAGCUUUGUCGCUGAUAAGCUAACUGAGUGGCAGCUGUCUGAGCUGAGAGAAUUUUAGAGGCCAUCCACAAACAUAAAAGAGGCCCUGGCGCUAUCAUUGGUGCAGACAUUCCCGACCCCGAAUGAUGGAUCAGACAGUGGCUAUGUGAGUUUAAUUAUCUUGGUUCAUAUGGAAAUUGAUGCUGAUUUAAAACUUUAAAACUUUUUUUUUUUUA
Sander lucioperca (pikeperch) is the source of this 397-nucleotide long non-coding RNA. RefSeq lists it as uncharacterized. Lineage: Eukaryota; Metazoa; Chordata; Actinopteri; Perciformes; Percidae. The record is from RefSeq and is a predicted model, not a curated record. The transcript has 2 exons.